Molecule: long non-coding RNA, 1708 nt
Filed under: Olea europaea subsp. europaea
Lineage: Eukaryota; Viridiplantae; Streptophyta; Magnoliopsida; Lamiales; Oleaceae
Source: RNAcentral
UCUCUUUCCUCUUCCUUCCCCUUUCUCUCUGAAUUGUUACUUCUUCUCCAGUUUCUUUCCCCAUUCUCUCCGAUUUCUUCCAACUUUCUUGCUUCCUUCUUUAUCCUGCAUCACUUACAAGGAAAAUAAAUUUUUUGACAUCAGCAAGGAAGAUUUGGAACUUGGUUAGUAAUAUUUAAUGAUGUUCAAAUGACUUCGAACCCCAAUUCAACUGUUAAUUCCCCACGCCAAAUUCUGAAAAGUCUUUGUUGAUUUUCUUUGCAAUGGUUGGGAGGGAAAAAUGUUGAGCUGUUGAUUUCCUUGCGUGUAACGGUUUUUAUCCUUUUUUCUAUAUGACAGGUGAUGACGAUGUGGUUAAAGAAACGGAAACUAAGAGUAUAAUCUUCUUUGCGAGUGGAUAAAACAACUACUUAGUGAUCAGAUGGCAAAAGUGCAAGUGUCUAAGCGUUUAAGCUUAUCACCAUGUGUGCUUGUUUCUAGAGUCUUGAGUGUUUAAGCUUAUCACACUUCGAGUCUCAAGUUCACAAGGGGAAGGAGAAUACUCGAGAUCAAUCCCGAUCACCCAAUGAAUGUAAGAUUUUAUGCUUUUGUUUGAAAAGUGUAAGUAGUAGAUGCUUUGUGAUCUAAACAAAGUUAAAAUAAUAGUUCGCAAUUUUAUAUAAUGUCUAUCUCUGAACAUUAUGUCUUCUUUUAGUUCCUUAAUGUUAUUAGAAAUAUUUUAAAACAUGAAGCUUGAAGCAUUUAUGUGACUUUUUAACUUCUAUAGCCUAAAUUUAUUUAUCUGCCUUUUUUUUAUAUUGCUUCAAUCACUAAAAUCAUUAAAUUGGAAACACUAGAAAACAUGAAUCUUAUAAAUUGUCAAAAGCUCAUCUUACUUUCUUGAAUGACCUUAUCGUUGGCGCUGUCGACCAGAUCUUAAUGAUAUACUGCAAAAGUUCGAUGCAGGCAUUCUUACUAUUGCUGAAUUGUUAAUUUUGCACCUAAUUUAAAUUUUACAUUUCAUUUUUUCAGGCUACAUGAAAGAAUGCGCCAGAUAGCACUGAUGCUAAGAGGGUUGUGGAACUUUUGUAUGAUACAGACUCGAUCUCCAAUGGGUUCACUGUAAGUAUGAAGGAAACUUUAAUUGCGUGUUUAAUAUAGUAGAUUAGACACGACUAAAUGCUAUCAAAGAAAAAUAGUUGAGUUAAAAUCUGAUCUAUUGCAUCGUCCAGUACAACUGAUUCGGUAAUAGUCUUGUUUAAUCUGCAAUUAACAAUUUUUUCCUUGAUUAUUGUCAAUGGCAACAUCGAUUUGAUGGCAAUGGCCCUUGGAGGAAGGUGGGGGCAGACUCAAGCAGAAUCCAAUGAAAAUGCUACAGAGUCUGACGCAAGCUCAUCUGAUGGUUCGAAAACUCAAGUUGUCGGGGCGUCAGAAGUGAGGACUGAGAAUGAGAUUUUUUUUUAUUUUUUAUUUUAUUUUAUUUUAUUUUUUGAUAUCCAAAUAUCCCAGCUUACACUAGACUAAAUCCUAGACUGAGAAUGAUUCUUGAAGGGCUUGAUGAGGGCAUCAGUUCCCCAUCUUUUAUCAGAUUUUUGGUACGAUUAUCCUCAACAGGUUGUUGGGAAUUUACUUAUCAUAUACAGCGAAAAAUAAAACAAAUUUUAAUUGCCAUCAAAGAUCUGUUUUGUCUUUCAAUAGAAAUUGUGAUAGAAAUUAUACAUUUAUCGAA